Capra hircus (goat) is the source of this 8729-nucleotide RNA transcript. It is a transcript of the gene named SEC16 homolog A, endoplasmic reticulum export factor, with no coding region annotated. The record is from RefSeq and is a predicted model, not a curated record. Lineage: Eukaryota; Metazoa; Chordata; Mammalia; Artiodactyla; Bovidae. The transcript is spliced from 30 exons.
AUGCAGCCGCCGCCCCAGGCCGUCCCUUCGGGCGUGGUCGGGCCGCCUCCGUCGGGGAGUCCUCAGACUAUGUUCUGGUCUAACAGCCCUUACAGGAGACAGGCCGGCAGUCACACUCCGAUGGCCCCGAUAACCUGCCCACUGCAGCCAGUGACAGAUCCUUUUGCUUUCAGUCGACAGGCUCUCCAGAGUACAUCGCUGGGCGGUUCGUCUAAAAGCAGCCCGCCCAUUUUGCAAGGCCCACCCCCGCCAUCAUCCCUGCAGCGUGCUGGUCUGCCCGUGCCUCACACAAACACUGGGGACAGCUCCCAAGGGCCCUGCGAACCUCUGCCAGGGCCUCCGGUGCAGCCCAGGGCAGAUGCCAGCCCAUUUCCCGGGGCGCCGAUGCCCUCGGCCUCACAUGGGCCCGAGACGAACAGGAGUGCCAAGGCUCCCGGCCCAGAGCCUGAGCUCCCGAACCCGCCGUACCCUCCACAGUACAUUCCAGCAGUGGGGUCCAGUGGCUCUCGUGGGGGCCUUCCGCAGGGGCACGUGCCUCGGCCUGACAGACCCCUGAGCCGGCCGAGCCCCCCCGACAGUGCCGCACCCCCAGCAGCACUCCCGCUCCCCCCUCAGCCCUGCCAGCAAGUGCCUGGGCAGUGGGGGCCAGGGCAGGGAGGCCCACGGCCCCCGGGUCAGCAGUACUGGCCUGGCCCAGAGGGACCCCCGCAGGUCCCAGGGCCCCAUGCCUCCAGCGUCACCCACUUUCCCCCUCUGUCCAGCCUGCAUCAGCAUCCUGGCCACGAGCAGCUCGGCCCCCCGGCAUCCUUACCAGGACCCUCAGCCAGUGACGGAAGAAACGAGGCCGUCUGCCUGCCCAGUGGAGACCACUCAGCAAAUAGCUUUGAUCCAGAGAGCGCGUUCAGGCAGAAUUCCAGAGUUGGAAAUGCUCGGGCAAACCAGGAGCUCAGGUCGAGUCCUGGAGUGAACAGAGAGCAGCUGUCGGGCCUGGCUGCCGUUAGCCCGCUUGCUCAGGGAAACGGCCUGGAAAGCCACUCGCACUGCUCGCCGGGGGCCGGGGGCGCCUGGACCCCACUGGAGGCGGGCUCGGGCGCACUUGCCAUGUUUUUCAAAGGAGGAGAGACAGAGAACGAAGAGAACCUCUCGUUGGAAACAGCGGGCUCUGCCGGGCAGGCCGACGUGGACGGUUUCUGCCUCGGCCAGCUUCCCGCACAUGUGGGCGCAGGAGGUGCUCACCAGGCCUUUCCCAGAGGCUCCAGCAGCGAGCCCACGCAGCUGGGGGGAGAGCCACAGCCCUACUUCCCUCAGUCUGCAGGUAGCCCUCACGAGAAAGCAGCCUCUAAGGUGGCCACCGUGGAUGUGUGGGCGGACACGGCCCGUGCAGGGGCUCAGUACGAGAAUGUUGAGAACCUGGAGUUUGUUCAGAACCAGGAAGUUCUGCCGAGCGAGCCCCUCAGCAUGGAUCCUUCCUCCCCAGGCGAUCCGCUCAGGUGCGGGCCCCUUCCUGGCCCAGCUGGCCCCAGGCUCGGUGCGGUGGGCCCUGUGGGAGGCGGGGGCCUGAAUCUCGAGGCCCUGGAUAUGACAACGCGCCCUGCACGGUCUGACAGCGUGUCGUCCGGUUACAGCGGCAAGAGCCACCGGGGCCUUCCAGGUGCCAGGCUCCGCGACUCGGGUACCUUCAUUCAACAGGAAGUGGGAAAACCUGAGGAUGAGUCUCCAGGGAGGUUUUUUAAGCAGAUCGAUUCUUCUCCUGUCGGUGGCGAGACAGACGAGACCAGCAGCCAGAACUACCUCGGCAGCCUGUCCCAGCCCUCGACCCCAAGCCCCCCAAAACCUACGGGGCUGUUUCAGACGAGUGCAAACAGUUCUUUUGAACCUGUGAAAUCCCACUUGGUUGGAGUAAAGCCCGUUGAGGCAGAUCGCGCCAAUGUGGUGGGGGAGGUGAGGGGGCCCAGUGCCCGCCAGCAGCACAGGGCCGCCGCUGCCACGCCUGAUGCCGCCCCUGGCAACUUGGAGCAGCCCCCCGACAACAUGGAGACCCUCUUCCCGCCGCAGCGCUGUGUGCCACCUCUCGCCACCCCCCUGGAGGCCGGACGUGGGCUUCUGCAGGCCACGGGGCCGCCCUUGGAAACGGUGCUGCCAACACCCGAGAAGAGGCCCUCGACUAGGGUGCAGGGGCCUGUGAAGUGUGAGAGCCCCGCAACGACCCUGUGGGCACAGAACGAGCUCCCAGAUUUUGGGGGCAAUGUCCUUCUGGCCCCAGCGGCUCCCGCGCUUCACGUGCCAGUGAAACCUCAGCUGUCUGAAGUGAUCCAGCCCCCAGAUGAGGGGGCGGCACGGCAGGUGGGCUCUGGCGGUCAGAGUGGGGAUGGCCUUGGAGCUUCUGAGAACCUGGAGAACCCUCCGCAGCUUGGCGAAGAGGAGGCCCUCCCGCCGCAGGCUGGCCCCAGCUAUGCCAGCCUGCUGUCCUCCCCACCCGCUGAGUCUUUGCAGAAUCAGCCCAUCUUGAUCGCCCAGCCCGAUCAAGGCUAUAGUCUGGCUCAGCCUGUUAACGUUUCUCUGUCCUUACCAAAUCCUAACGAGAAGGCUCCAUCCUGGAGAGACUCUUCGGUGGGAGAUAAGCCUAUAGUCAGCGGCCGGGCUGCCGGGGGUGAUCCUGGAGAGAGUGCACCUUUGUCUGGGAUGCCAGCUAGCUCUCUCAUCUGCUCGCCUCUGCCUAACCAUCUGGCUCAGAGUCCUUUUCCACAAGUUUCUAGUACCUAUGACAUGGUUUCUAAUCAAGCUGCUAAUUUGCUGGUUCAACCGCACUCUCAUCCAAAUGCCUUGCUUCCAGAAGGUCAGAAGGUCCACAGCGCAGAGAGUGUGCCUCCUGAGGAGGUGCCCAGUCCUGCGGGGGGUGCAGGCCUGGUGUUAGUGCCGCCUGCAAGUAGCACCUCCCUGCCUGACAACAGCAAGCCGGGCCUCUGUGGCAGGCGGGACGGAGCUUCGGGAGCCCUGGACUUCAUGUUUGGUAGGGCUUUGGAAAAUCCUGCAGGAGUGUACAGCCUGGCCCACGUGGAUGGCCCAGCCUCUGUUCAGCCGCCCGCUGCCAGUCGUCAGCCGCCUGGGCCUGGGGCGAACACCCCGGACCGUUUCUAUCAGCAGGUGAUGAAAGAGGCUCAUGACCAGCCUGGUGCAGAGAGAGCCCAGCAGGAGCUGGCACUGCCACUGCCUGCUCCGCAGGGGCCCAGAGCAGUGCUUCCGGAGCCGUCCAACCCGGGGAGUCCCCCGGUGCAGGCACAGCCUGCGGACCCGGCCCGGCCCGCAAGCCCAGCUGCUGCUGACGCGGGUCAGCAGCUGCUGCCCCGGCCACCUCGGUCCUCCAGCGCCUCUGUUGUGUCCACCAGCUCGGGCCAGGCGGCCCUACGGCCCGACCAGCAGUGGCUGCAGCCCCCGCCUCCCGACCUGGCAUCCUACUUCUACUACAGGCCCUUGUAUGACGGCUACCAGCCCCCAUACCCGUACUCCGCAUACCCGCCGGACCCUGGCCCAGCCCCCCACUAUUACCAGGACAUCUAUGGCCUCUACGACCCCAGGUACAGGCCCUGUGACAGCGCUGCCUACAUGGAUCCCUGCCGCUACCCCGAGCCCGAGCGGCCCAGCUCCCGGGCCAGUCACUGCUCCGACCGCCCGGCCGCCAGGCAAGCGUAUCCUGAAGGUUACUAUAAUUCCAAAAGCGGAUGGAGCAGUCAGAGUGAUUACUAUGCAGGUUGCUAUUCCAGCCAGUACGAUUACAGAGACCCAGGUCGCUGGGAUCGGCUCUACUACAGCUCCCGGUUCAGGGAUCCCCGUUCCUACGACCGGAGGUACUGGUACGAUGCGGAGUAUGACUCGUGCAGGAAGGAGAGCUAUGCCUGUGGCGACAGGCCCGAGAAAUACGACGACCGCUACAGGUACGACCCCCGCUUCACCGGGAGCUUUGACGAUGAGCCCGAGCCACCCCGGGACCCUUACGGGGAGGAGGCAGACCGGCGCAGCGAGCACAGCGAGCACUCGGCACGGAGCCUGCGCAGUGCGCCCAGCCUGCAGAGCCGCCGCAGCAGCUUCAGCGCCCACUCCCAACAGAGUCAGGUGUACCGGAGUCACAACGUGCCCUCCGGGUCCUACGAGGUGCCCCCGCCGCCGGGCUCCUUCCAUGGCGAUUACGCCUACGGCCCCUACGUGAGCGACUUCCACGGUGCGCCAGGCUUUCCAGAGUACGGCUACCCCACCGAGGCCAGCUGGCCCUCCGUGGAGCAAGCUCCGUCGAGACCCUCUUCUCCCGAGAAGUUCUCGGUGCCUCACGUCUGUGCCAGGUUUGGUCCUGGGGGCCAGCUCAUCAAAGUGAUUCCAAACCUGCCUUCAGAAGGACAGCCUGCACUGGUUGAAAUUCACAGCAUGGAGACCCUGCUGCAGCACACGCCGGAGCAGGAGGAGAUGCGGGCCUUCCCAGGACCUCUCGGCAAAGAUGACACCCAUAAAGUGGAUGUUAUUAAUUUUGCACAGAACAAGGCUACAAAGUGUUUGCAGAAUGAAAACUUAAUAGACAAAGAGUCUGCGAGUCUCCUCUGGAGCUUUAUCGUCCUGCUGUGCAGGCAGAACGGGACCGUGGUGGGCACAGACAUUGCAGAGCUCUUGUUACGAGACCACCGAACCGUUUGGCUUCCUGGGAAGUCGCCGAAUGAGGCCAACCUGAUCGAUUUCACCAACGAGGCCAUGGAGCAGGUGGAGGAGGAGGAGUCCGGCGAGGCCCAGCUCUCGUUCCUCACGGACAGUCAGGCCGCCAGCACCCUCGAGAAGGACACGGAGCGGUUCCGGGAGCUGCUGCUCUACGGCCGCAAGAAGGACGCCUUAGAGUCUGCGAUGAAGAGCGGCUUAUGGGGUCACGCCUUGUUACUCGCCAGUAAGAUGGACAGCCGGACACACGCCAGAGUCAUGACUAGGUUCGCCAACAGCCUUCCGAUAAACGACCCCCUGCAGACCGUCUACCAGCUGAUGUCAGGGCGGAUGCCGGCCGCGUCCACGUGCUGUGGGGAUGAGAAGUGGGGAGACUGGCGGCCACACCUGGCCAUGAUCUUGUCCAACCUGAGCAGCAACGUGGACGUGGAGUCUCGAGCCGUGGCCGCGAUGGGCGACACCCUGGCCUCCAAAGGGCUCCUCGACGCCGCGCACUUCUGCUACCUCAUGGCCCAGGUCGGAUUUGGGGUGUACACCAAAAAGACCACAAAGCUCGUCUUAAUUGGGUCAAACCACAGUUUGCCAUUUUCAAAGUUCGCGACCAACGAAGCGAUCCAGAGGACAGAAGCCUAUGAGUACGCGCAGUCCCUGGGGGCGCAGGCCUGCUCCCCUCCCAGCUUCCAGGUGUUCAAGUUCAUCUAUUGCUGCCGCCUGGCCGAGAUGGGGCUGGCCGCGCAGGCCUUCCACUACUGCGAGGCGAUCGCCAAGAGUGUCCUGGCGCAGCCCCACAGACACUCGCCGGUGCUGCUCCGCCAGCUGGUGCAGGUCGCCUCCCAGUUGCGCCUCUUUGACCCUCAGCUGAAGGAGAAGCCGGAGGAGGAGGCGUCUGCGGAGCCCGCCUGGCUGGUCCAGCUGCAGCUCGUGGAGAGACGGGUUGAGGAGGGCGCUGUGGCCUGGAGUCAGGACGGAGCCUGCCCCCAGCGCUGCCCCAGCUCGCCAAGCCCUGAGGUGGGGCCCCGUGAUGGCCCGGGACCCAGCCAGCCAGCGGGCCUGGGCGCCGACAACCCGCUGCUGGCCCCGCCGGUGCCCAGCACCAAGCUCUUCAGCCAGGACGUGCGGCAGCUGCCCUCAGCUCCUUCGGCGCUCCCCGCCGGCCCAGCGGCCAUCCCCGCGCAGGUGCCCAUGUUCCCUGUGCCACUGCCGGCUCCUGUCGAGCUAGAGCCUGUGCACGGCCCCCCAGGGGCUGUACCUGGCUUUCAAGAGCCCUCUGGGCCUGACCCUGUGGCCCUGUAUCCCGGACCUGGGGUGCCACCUCUCCAGGAGACAGACUGCCUGUUCCCGGAGGCCAGGAGCCAGGACGCAGGGGCGGUGCCGCAGGAAACGCCCGGCAGAAGCUCGCUUUCGGAGCCGGGAGAGGAGGAGUUUGGUGGGAGCUUUGCUAAUAUGGGCUCCUUCAGGACCUCGCCGGGUUCCGAGGCGCCGCUGCAGGCCCUGCAGCCACCUGCGCCGCUGACGCCCGCGCCCGAAGUGCAGAGACCUGUCCAGGCCACCAAGAAGGAGAGCAAGGAGCCGAAGAAGAGCAGCGAAUCCUGGUUCUCUCGCUGGCUGCCUGUGAAGAAAAGGACGGAAGCUUACUUGCCAGACGACAAGAACAAAUCGAUCGUCUGGGAUGAAAAGAAGAACCGGUGGGUGGACGUCAAUGAACCGGAGGAGGAGAAGAAGGCUCCGCCCCCGCCUCCAACUGCCCUUCCCAAGGCUCCACAAGCUGCCCACCCUGGUCCCGGAGGGCCCCCCAGACCCACUGUGAACAUCUAUUCUAGAAAAGCAGCUGGAACCAGGGCACGCUACGUGGACGUUCUGAACCCGGGGGGCCCCCAGCGGAGCGAGCCGACCCUGGCUCCCACUGACCUCUUUGCACCCCUGGCCCCGCUUCCAAUUCCGGCUCACCUGUUGGGCCCAAACGCAGAUGCAGAGGAGGUGCCGUCCGCCGAGGCAGCCAGCAGGGAGGGGCCGGCCAGGCCGGAGCCCGCAUCGGAUCCCAAGGUGUUCGGGCCUGCAGUGGCGUUGCUCCCUGGACCUGAACUCCCAGCGUCUGGACUUGAUGGUCCCCAGGGAGGAGAGCUUUCGCGCUGUAGUUCACUGAGCUCGUUAUCACGGGAAGUGAGCCAGCAUUUUAACCAGAAGGACUUCCUGGGACUUGUUCGUUUGUGAAGUAGAGCCCUGGAUUUUGUAGCUGGACGCCUGCGACCUGGAGCGACCCCUAGUGCCUGCGCCCCUCCCCCACUGCUGCGGUGCAUGCCCUGGUUUUCCUGGUUUUCUGAGCCCCGUUAAAUAAUUAAACAUAGUUCUGCAGUAAGUGCCUUUGCCCUGCUUCUGUGGCGCCCUCAAAAGUGUGAUAAAGCCUACUCAGAAACAGUGUCUGUACUUGCAAACAAGCCGAGCCGCUGUGCUCGGUCAGAGGGUGAGACGGCCUCUGUGUGCUCCCCAGGCUCCUGGUGCUCUCACCCCCGCGGGGGCCCCUCCUGGGGCCGGGGUGCCCUUCUACAACCCUGCUCAGUUUGCACAAGCCCCUGCCGCCUCAGGAAGCUCAAGGACGGGGAGGAUCGGCCAGAGGAAGUACCCAGCGUUAAGCUAGAAGGGCCACGUCCUGGAGUAGCACCAGGACUGGCGAUGGCUGCCCGCCCCGAGGUCAGGCCGGCGGCCUGCGACUCCAGUCUGCCCCAACGGGCGUGAACGCAGCAACUCCGAAAUGACUUGCGGAGUGUCCGACACUAAUCCGCACCUUCGAGAUGCUGGGUGAAGAGUGACUCUUAGACCCAAAGGGGUGACUUAAGGAUCCGGCAUCUGCAGUCACCUGAGGGGGUGACACUGAGUGAAGCUGGAGGCAUCUUGGCUACAGGAGGAUUGUGCUUCUCGGUAACUAAGGCCUCAAAACCUCGCGGGGAAUCCUUGCCAAAUAGAGCCCAGGGGUCCUUUCAGACGCCAGGAGGAGACGGUGCACCUUUGACUCAGAGAGGAGCUCGCCUGCGUGCGUGCUCCCAGAGGCGGUCAGGUCAGCCCCCGCCCCACGUUGCUGAGCCUGGAAGGGUGCUUCGUCUCAGAGGAAACUGGGCUUCCUUUAGCAGCAGUUCCAUUAGGUUUUGAGAGCAGCCCUCGCUUCUGACCUGUGUUCUAUCUCCUGGAGCCAAGACGUGCCCAGCUCUGCGUGGUCUCCUGUGGCCUCACCAGGACCAGGAGGCUUCCAGCAGUCAGAGGGGUCAGCUGGGACGGAGCUGUUCUGAGCGACGGGCCCAGUGUCACAGCUGGGACUCCGGGUUUGGUUUGGGUUUUUCCGUGGACCCACCAGGCCCUGCUUCCCGUGGCCAGCCCUUGCAGCGCUGUCAGCUGACGGCCGCCUCUCACCGCUGCGUCACUUAGGGAGCUGGUAACAUCCUGAAGACAGUGGCUUGCAGCUGUUUCUUGUCUCAAGCUCCAGAGUCCGACCUUUCUGGCCCCGGACUUGUCAGUGGCUCACCUGCUGACUCAGCCUGUGAACCUGCACAGGACGAUGACCUCCUGGCGGACCCAGCUUUAAGGCUUCAUCGACUGUUCUCAAAACUGUUCACAUUCUUCUGUCUAAAGGGACUAAAGAAAAGAUUUAAAUAUUUAUAAAAAUCAUUAGGAAAUAAUUUCUGUAGAACGCUGGGGAACGUGGUUUGUUGGGUUUUAAUCCAGGUGUCGGGCUUGAGUGGGGUGGGGUGGGGUCAGCACAGGGCCCUCGGGUCCACUGGGUCGUCUCGGAAGGACCCGCAGAACGGUUUUCCAGGACGCGUCACAGAUGUGACACCUCACUGGCGGGCGGUCUCGUGUCCAGGGUCAGUGCUAGCGCGACCCCCGGGCUGAGACCUGCCCCCCCCCCCCCCCGUGGCCCUACCUGUUGUCUAUGUCGACCGCCGGCGAGUUUUGAUUCAAGAAGCUUCCUCUGAGGGGGGAGCUGCUAUUUUUCCUAAAUGCAAAUUGUUAAAUAAAAUAUUUUGCGCUCUCAAGCCCUUUCA